Molecule: ribosomal RNA, 908 nt
Filed under: Coniothyrium sp. CBS 302.72
Lineage: Eukaryota; Fungi; Ascomycota; Dothideomycetes; Pleosporales; Coniothyriaceae
Also listed under: 1 other name
Description: eukaryotic LSU rRNA
Rfam family: Eukaryotic large subunit ribosomal RNA
Source: RNAcentral
GCAUAUCAAUAAGCGGAGGAAAAGAAACCAACAGGGAUUGCCCUAGUAACGGCGAGUGAAGCGGCAACAGCUCAAAUUUGAAAUCUGGCUCUCUUUGGGGGUCCGAGUUGUAAUUUGCAGAGGAUGCUUUGGCAUUGGCGGCGGUCUAAGUUCCUUGGAACAGGACAUCACAGAGGGUGAGAAUCCCGUACGUGGUCGCCUGCCCUUGCCGUGUAAAGCUCCUUCGACGAGUCGAGUUGUUUGGGAAUGCAGCUCUAAAUGGGAGGUAAAUUUCUUCUAAAGCUAAAUACUGGCCAGAGACCGAUAGCGCACAAGUAGAGUGAUCGAAAGAUGAAAAGUACUUUGGAAAGAGAGUCAAAAAGCACGUGAAAUUGUUGAAAGGGAAGCGCUUGCAGCCAGACUUGCCCGCAGUUGCUCACCUAGGCUUUCGCCUGGGGCACUCUUCUGCGGGCAGGCCAGCAUCAGUUUGGGCGGUUGGAUAAAGGCCUCUGUCACGUAUCUCCCUUCGGGGUGACCUUAUAGGGGAGGCGCAAUGCAACCAGCCCGGACUGAGGUCCGCGCAUCUGCUAGGAUGCUGGCGUAAUGGCUGUAAGCGGCCCGUCUUGAAACACGGACCAAGGAGUCUAACAUCUAUGCGAGUGUUUGGGUGUCAAGCCCGAGCGCGCAAUGAAAGUGAACGGAGGUGGGAACCCUUUGGGUGCACCAUCGACCGAUCCUGAUGUCUUCGGAUGGAUUUGAGUAAGAGCAUAGCUGUUGGGACCCGAAAGAUGGUGAACUAUGCUUGAAUAGGGUGAAGCCAGAGGAAACUCUGGUGGAGGCUCGCAGCGGUUCUGACGUGCAAAUCGAUCGUCAAAUUUGGGCAUAGGGGCGAAAGACUAAUCGAACCAUCUAGUAGCUGGUUCCUGCCG